ACGCACGCUGGCGGCGUGCUUAACACAUGCCAGUCGAACGGAAAGGCCCCUUUGGGGGUACUCGAGUGGCGAACGGGUGAGUAACACGUGAGUAACCUGCCCUUGACUUCGGGAUAACUUCAGGAAACUGGGGCUAAUACCGGAUAGGAAUCCUUGCUGCAUGGUGGGGGUUGGAAAGCUUCGGCGGUUUUGGAUGGACUCGCGGCUUAUCAGCUUGUUGGUGGGGUAGUGGCUUACCAAGGCUUUGACGGGUAGCCGGCCUGAGAGGGCGACCGGCCACAUUGGGACUGAGAUACGGCCCAGACUCCUACGGGAGGCAGCAGUGGGGAAUAUUGCACAAUGGGCGGAAGCCUGAUGCAGCAACGCCGCGUGCGGGAUGACGGCCUUCGGGUUGUAAACCGCUUUCAGCAGGGGCGAAGCUUGUGGUGACGGUACCUGCAGAAGAAGCACCGGCUAACUACGU
RNAcentral lists this ribosomal RNA (463 nucleotides) under uncultured bacterium. RNAcentral's name for it is "partial 16S ribosomal RNA". It matches the Rfam family "Bacterial small subunit ribosomal RNA", at positions 29 to 506 of the family's 1533-position model. The record is from RNAcentral.